This 476-nucleotide long non-coding RNA is filed under the name Ictidomys tridecemlineatus (thirteen-lined ground squirrel). Its description in RNAcentral is "lncRNA (ENSSTOG00000033667.1)". Lineage: Eukaryota; Metazoa; Chordata; Mammalia; Rodentia; Sciuridae. The record is from RNAcentral.
UAUUUGACAGGAGAGAUGGGGCCUCAGGCUAUGAAACUGCUGAUGCUGAAUUCAGGCUGCCAGGCCCACCUGCAGUGGCAACUGCAAAUAUUUCCAACAUCAGACAGUUCUGUUCUAGGUGAAAUGCCACACUGAGUGGUGAAUACAUCAAUUCGGCUUUCCCUUAGUGGUGGGUAGGGAGGCAAGGAGGGCAAACAAUGAUCAGUCUUCCAUUUGGAGCUAGGAUCAUAUUCAUGCAUAGGAAGAAAGAACCUCACAUAAGGAUCCCAAAUUGGCAGUGCUCAGAUCUCUGCCAAAGCAGGCCCAAGCCAGCAUACCAGCAGCGCCUGGAGUGACAACAUCAUCACUGAGGAGAAGUUACUGGGCAGUGACAUAGAGAUUCUCCCUCUCUGGUAGAAGAGGACCUCAGUGACCACCAUGGAUAAAGAAGCAAGUCACCUUAACACUCUGUCAGAAGACAGGGAGGUGAGUGUAUG